RNAcentral lists this ribosomal RNA (468 nucleotides) under uncultured bacterium. Its description in RNAcentral is "partial 16S ribosomal RNA". It matches the Rfam family "Bacterial small subunit ribosomal RNA", at positions 28 to 507 of the family's 1533-position model. The record is from RNAcentral.
GACGAACGCUGGCGGCGUGCUUAACACAUGCAAGUCGAACGGAAAGGCCCUGCUUUUGUGGGGUGCUCGAGUGGCGAACGGGUGAGUAACACGUGAGUAACCUGCCCUUGACUUUGGGAUAACUUCAGGAAACUGGGGCUAAUACCGGAUAGGAGCUCCUGCUGCAUGGUGGGGGUUGGAAAGUUUCGGCUGUUGGGGUUGGACUCGCGGCUUAUCAGCUUGUUGGUGGGGUAGUGGCUUACCAAGGCUUUGACGGGUAGCCGGCCUGAGAGGGUGACCGGCCACAUUGGGACUGAGAUAGGGACCAGACUCCUACGGGAGGCAGCAGUGGGGAAUAUUGCACAAUGGGCGGAAGCCUGAUGAAGCAACGCCGCGUGCGGGAUGACGGCCUUCGGGUUGUAAACCGCUUUCGCCUGUGACGAAGCGUGAGUGACGGUAAUGGGUAAAGAAGCACCGGCUAACUACGUG